Molecule: transfer RNA, 74 nt
Filed under: Microcoleus sp. FACHB-53
Lineage: Bacteria; Bacillati; Cyanobacteriota; Cyanophyceae; Oscillatoriales; Microcoleaceae
Also listed under: 1 other name
Description: tRNA-Ala
Rfam family: tRNA
About the family: Transfer RNA (tRNA) molecules are approximately 80 nucleotides in length. Their secondary structure includes four short double-helical elements and three loops (D, anti-codon, and T loops).
Source: RNAcentral
GGGUCUGUAGCUUAACUGGGAAAGCAGCUAAUUCGCAAUUAGCGAGAUGUGGGUUCUAUUCCCACCAGUAUCUA